Molecule: ribosomal RNA, 497 nt
Filed under: uncultured bacterium
Lineage: Bacteria
Description: partial 16S ribosomal RNA
Rfam family: Bacterial small subunit ribosomal RNA
Source: RNAcentral
GAUGAACGCUGGCGGCGUGCCUAAUACAUGCAAGUCGAGCGAACAGACGAGGAGCUUGCUCCUCUGACGUUAGCGGCGGACGGGUGAGUAACACGUGGAUAACCUACCUAUAAGACUGGGAUAACUUCGGGAAACCGGAGCUAAUACCGGAUAAUAUAUUGAACCGCAUGGUUCAAUAGUGAAAGGCGGUUUUGCUGUCACUUAUAGAUGGAUCCGCGCCGCAUUAGCUAGUUGGUAAGGUAACGGCUUACCAAGGCAACGAUGCGUAGCCGACCUGAGAGGGUGAUCGGCCACACUGGAACUGAGACACGGUCCAGACUCCUACGGGAGGCAGCAGUAGGGAAUCUUCCGCAAUGGGCGAAAGCCUGACGGAGCAACGCCGCGUGAGUGAUGAAGGUCUUCGGAUCGUAAAACUCUGUUAUUAGGGAAGAACAAAUGUGUAAGUAACUAUGCACGUCUUGACGGUACCUAAUCAGGAAGCCACGGCUAACUACGUG